Molecule: ribosomal RNA, 297 nt
Filed under: Clostridioides difficile
Lineage: Bacteria; Bacillati; Bacillota; Clostridia; Peptostreptococcales; Peptostreptococcaceae
Description: partial 23S ribosomal RNA
Rfam family: Bacterial large subunit ribosomal RNA
Source: RNAcentral
GGUACUACAUGUACAGGAUAGGUGGGAGGCUUUGAAACCAGGACGCCAGUUUUGGCGGAGCCAUCCUUGGGAUACCACCCUUGUAGUACUGGGACUCUAACCAUAGGCCAUGAAUCUGGUCUUGGGACACUGUCAGGUGGGCAGUUUGACUGGGGCGGUCGCCUCCCAAAAGGUAACGGAGGCGCUCAAAGGUUCUCUCAGUACGGUCGGAAAUCGUACGUAGAGUGUAAAGGCAAAAGAGAGCUUGAUUGCAAGACAUACAGGUCGAGCAAGGAUGAAAAUCGGACUUAGUGAUCC